This 76-nucleotide transfer RNA is filed under the name Ignavibacteria bacterium. Its description in RNAcentral is "tRNA-Ala". It matches the Rfam family "tRNA". From Rfam's summary of the family: Transfer RNA (tRNA) molecules are approximately 80 nucleotides in length. Their secondary structure includes four short double-helical elements and three loops (D, anti-codon, and T loops). Further hydrogen bonds mediate the characteristic L-shaped molecular structure. tRNAs have two regions of fundamental functional importance: the anti-codon, which is responsible for specific mRNA codon recognition, and the 3' end, to which the tRNAs corresponding amino acid is attached (by aminoacyl-tRNA synthetases). tRNAs cope with the degeneracy of the genetic code in two manners: having more than one tRNA (with a specific anti-codon) for a particular amino acid; and 'wobble' base-pairing, i.e. permitting non-standard base-pairing at the 3rd anti-codon position. The record is from RNAcentral. Lineage: Bacteria; Pseudomonadati; Ignavibacteriota; Ignavibacteria.
GGGGCUGUAGCUCAGCUGGGAGAGCGUCUGGUUUGCAACCAGAAGGUCGGGAGUUCGAUCCUCCUCAGCUCCACAA